GGGCCCACUGACAUUGUAAUCACGGCUACCGUUCCCAAAACAGUUUUAUGAAAUGCCCAAAGGUCCCUGUUCUCGUCAUAUUCUUGAAUGGUGUUGCCUCGUGAAUGUUAUUGCAACAUUUAAUCUUUUUCACACACAACAAAUUCACAUACUGAAGCUAUAUUUCUUUAUUUAGUUCAUCAGAUGUGCCAUUUUCUUUUUGCAGUAUGGCUUGAACCAGAGCAAGUCCUCAUACAAUGGCAUAGAACCAAAAGACGUCAAUGUCGGCAAAUUGCAACAGUGACAGUGGAAGGCGAUGCUUCCUCUUGUAAGCAUGGAAUGC
RNAcentral lists this long non-coding RNA (322 nucleotides) under Elaeis guineensis (African oil palm). Its description in RNAcentral is "long non-coding RNA (EGUI_LNC054779)". Lineage: Eukaryota; Viridiplantae; Streptophyta; Magnoliopsida; Arecales; Arecaceae. The record is from RNAcentral.